RNAcentral lists this small nuclear RNA (195 nucleotides) under Arabidopsis halleri subsp. gemmifera. RNAcentral describes it as "snRNA U2". It matches the Rfam family "U2 spliceosomal RNA". Rfam says of the family: U2 is a small nuclear RNA (snRNA) component of the spliceosome (involved in pre-mRNA splicing). Complementary binding between U2 snRNA (in an area lying towards the 5' end but 3' to hairpin I) and the branchpoint sequence (BPS) of the intron results the bulging out of an unpaired adenosine, on the BPS, which initiates a nucleophilic attack at the intronic 5' splice site, thus starting the first of two transesterification reactions that mediate splicing. Lineage: Eukaryota; Viridiplantae; Streptophyta; Magnoliopsida; Brassicales; Brassicaceae. The record is from RNAcentral.
AUACCUUUCUCGGCCUUUUGGCUAAGAUCAAGUGUAGUAUCUGUUCUUAUCAGUUUAAUAUCUGAUAUGUUGACCAGUGGUUGACACGAUAUUAACUCAAUUUAUUUAGGGAGUGAGCCAUCAAAAUAGCUUGCUAUUUGCGCUCACGAUCGUCGCCCAUGCGUUGCACUAUUGCAAGGGUUUGGCGUAUCCCAC